AAAUAUAAUAUUUAUUAGAAUGGGCACUGUUGAUUGGUGUCUAAAAUAUUUGGUGUGGCUAAAAUGGAGACAAGGUCAGGCUUCCACCACAGUGUACGAUUACAGCAGUGACAAGGAGGCCUGUAACAUUU
Molecule: small nucleolar RNA, 131 nt
Filed under: Fukomys damarensis (Damara mole-rat)
Lineage: Eukaryota; Metazoa; Chordata; Mammalia; Rodentia; Bathyergidae
Description: Small nucleolar RNA SNORA1 (ENSFDAG00000002963.1)
Source: RNAcentral